UCGUCUCUGUGUUUUUUGCUGAUGAUAUGCCAAAAUCAGUGAUUGUCAAACGGGACGCAAAUAAAAUUCUUAAGUCUCGUUAUAGUCUUCAUUUAGCUUUUACGGCAAGUAGACUUCUCCAUACUUUAGAAACAAAU
Molecule: small nucleolar RNA, 137 nt
Organism: Bactrocera tryoni
Lineage: Eukaryota; Metazoa; Arthropoda; Insecta; Diptera; Tephritidae
Product: small nucleolar RNA psi18S-1377
Exons: 1
Source: RefSeq, a predicted model, not a curated record